CACAUUACAGCUUUUCCUUCGAACCUCUUGGCCGUGCUGCCCGGUCGGUAACAAUGGAAACGGAAGCAAACAGUACCGUUGUUCGCUUUCGAAAGUUUCCCCGACAAACAUUUAUAUUGGCUAGAAACUGUCACAUUAUUUCGGGCGUUACGGUAACGGUAAAAGGUGUCGCUGUCAUGGGGUACUUGAGAGAAAUCGACCUAGCGCCACAAUGGAUUGUUUACGCGUCAGAUUAUCCCAUGGAAGAUUUUCGUCAAAGCUAAUUAAAGGAAAAUGGACUCUCUUUUCAGCAAGUAAAGUGAAAAAAUAAAUAAGGACCGACUCUCGUAGUAGACGCCUUAAUCUGCAGUAUAUUUCAGAUAGAGAAAGAGACGUCCCACGUGACGUGAGGGAGACGAUGUAACGCCGCGACGCUCAAAAGUAGGAGACGCUUUCCGGGUAGCGUCGUACGGCGUCGGUGUGAAUUACAGAGAAAUUGCGCUCGGUUCUCGAAUCUCGUAGUAACGAUGAUGGUCUAUAUCUAAAAAUAUCGCGCGGCAAUCGUGUUCUCGAAUACGUGCCGAAUAGGAUGAAAAAUCGCACGAUGUUUUCUCGAAGGUUCGUAACGCCGACGUGGAGGAGGAUAAGAGGAGAGCCGAGGGCGAGCAGAGCGGGAGAUAGAGAGAGGGAAAAUGAACGCGCGCGAGAAAAGGUAAUGGCGAAGCAAGGAAGAAAAAGAGGGACACGCGGUGUGUGUACGAGAAGUAGGAGAUGAUGGCGGAGAAGUAGACGUAGUAGGAGGAAAAAGGGAAGGAGAUACAUGGCGUUGGAGUCGACUGCGUGGGUCACGUCGCAAAGGAAGGCGUUCGGCGUCGUGUUUAUGCAUGCAACCCGGUAAACAAUUUCGUUGGAGAGUUAGAGGCAAACUGUGGCACAGGCUACCCGGAAUAUAGUAUAUCUGAACGAGUCAGAGAGAGGGAGAGGGGGAAGGUCGUCCAGGAUGGCGGGCUCUACGCUACUCAUGAGCGGACUCCAAGCUACGUAAGAACACGCGAGGGAGAGCGACGAACGCCGCGAGCUCGAAAAAUGGAGUCGCUGGGAAAACGCCGGCCGGCAUUCUCCCCUCACACAUGUCCAAGAUCAUUCGCCCGCGUAACUCCGUUACGCGACCCGUCCUCACUUCACGCAACUUUGCGAUACGCAACUGCAGCCAGUAAUUGUAACGAGGAACACGAUAUGAUUCACAAUGAGCGACAACGACGUAACGACGAUUGCGAUGAAUAACGAAGAAACACACGUAGUAAAGAUCCUCCGAACACGAGACACACUUCCAAAUGCAUAAGACCCGAAGUCGUAGAGAUAUAAAUUCACUGUUAACUCA
Molecule: RNA transcript, 1360 nt
Organism: Cephus cinctus (wheat stem sawfly)
Lineage: Eukaryota; Metazoa; Arthropoda; Insecta; Hymenoptera; Cephidae
Exons: 2
Source: RefSeq, a predicted model, not a curated record